RNAcentral lists this ribosomal RNA (825 nucleotides) under Vibrio parahaemolyticus. Its description in RNAcentral is "bacterial SSU rRNA". It matches the Rfam family "Bacterial small subunit ribosomal RNA", at positions 315 to 1123 of the family's 1533-position model. Lineage: Bacteria; Pseudomonadati; Pseudomonadota; Gammaproteobacteria; Vibrionales; Vibrionaceae. The record is from RNAcentral.
GGAACUGAGACACGGUCCAGACUCCUACGGGAGGCAGCAGUGGGGAAUAUUGCACAAUGGGCGCAAGCCUGAUGCAGCCAUGCCGCGUGUGUGAAGAAGGCCUUCGGGUUGUAAAGCACUUUCAGUCGUGAGGAAGGUGGUGGUGUUAAUAGCAGUAUCAUUUGACGUUAGCGACAGAAGAAGCACCGGCUAACUCCGUGCCAGCAGCCGCGGUAAUACGGAGGGUGCGAGCGUUAAUCGGAAUUACUGGGCGUAAAGCGCAUGCAGGUGGUUUGUUAAGUCAGAUGUGAAAGCCCGGGGCUCAACCUCGGAAUUGCAUUUGAAACUGGCAGACUAGAGUACUGUAGAGGGGGGUAGAAUUUCAGGUGUAGCGGUGAAAUGCGUAGAGAUCUGAAGGAAUACCGGUGGCGAAGGCGGCCCCCUGGACAGAUACUGACACUCAGAUGCGAAAGCGUGGGGAGCAAACAGGAUUAGAUACCCUGGUAGUCCACGCCGUAAACGAUGUCUACUUGGAGGUUGUGGCCUUGAGCCGUGGCUUUCGGAGCUAACGCGUUAAGUAGACCGCCUGGGGGAGUACGGUCGCAAGAUUAAAACUCAAAUGAAUUGACGGGGGCCCGCACAAGCGGUGGGAGCAUGUGGUUUAAUUCGAUGCAACGCGAAGAAUCCUUACCUACUCUUGACAUCCAGAAGAACUUUCCAGAGAUGAUUGCUGCCUUUCAGGAACUCUGAGAACAGGUGCUGCAUGACUGUCGUCAGCUCGUGUUGUGAAAUGAUCGGGAUAGGUCCCCGCCACGAGGCGCAACCGUUUAUCCUUGUUUUGCAGCG